GGGAGUGUGGCUCAGUGGUAGAGCGUUUGCCUGCCAGGCAAGAGGCCCUGAGUUCAAUCCUCAGCAUGGGACA
Molecule: non-coding RNA, 73 nt
Organism: Perognathus longimembris pacificus (Pacific pocket mouse)
Lineage: Eukaryota; Metazoa; Chordata; Mammalia; Rodentia; Heteromyidae
Source: the annotation of a RefSeq genome assembly